AGUGAACGCUGGCGGUAGGCCUAACACAUGCAAGUCGAACGGCAGCACAGUAAGAGCUUGCUCUUACGGGUGGCGAGUGGCGGACGGGUGAGGAAUACAUCGGAAUCUACUUUUUCGUGGGGGAUAACGUAGGGAAACUUACGCUAAUACCGCAUACGACCUACGGGUGAAAGCAGGGGAUCUUCGGACCUUGCGCGAUUGAAUGAGCCGAUGUCGGAUUAGCUAGUUGGCGGGGUAAAGGCCCACCAAGGCGAGGAUCGGUAGCUGGUCUGAGAGGAUGAUCAGCGACACUGGAACUGAGACACGGUCCAGACUCCUACGGGAGGCAGCAGUGUGGAAUAUUGGACAAUGGGCGCAAGCCUGAUCCAGCCAUACCGCGUGGGUGAAGAAGGCCUUCGGGUUGUAAAGCCCUUUUGUUGGGAAAGAAAAGCAGCAGGUUAAUACCCCGCUGUUCUGACGGUACCCAAAGAAUAAGCACCGGCUAACUUCGUG
Molecule: ribosomal RNA, 492 nt
Filed under: uncultured bacterium
Lineage: Bacteria
Description: partial 16S ribosomal RNA
Rfam family: Bacterial small subunit ribosomal RNA
Source: RNAcentral